This 264-nucleotide ribosomal RNA is filed under the name uncultured archaeon. RNAcentral's name for it is "partial 16S ribosomal RNA". It matches the Rfam family "Archaeal small subunit ribosomal RNA", at positions 719 to 982 of the family's 1478-position model. The record is from RNAcentral.
ACACGACUACAUUAGAUACCCGUGUAGUCCAGGGUGUAAACGCUGCGGGCUUGGUGUUGGGGGUCCUUUGAGGGCGCCCAGUGCCGGAGAGAAGUUGUUAAGCCUGCUGCUUGGGAGUACGUCCGCAAGGAUGAAACUUAAAGGAAUUGGUGGGGGAGCACCGCAACGGGAGGAGCGUGCGGUUCAAUUGGAUUCAACGCCGGACAACUCACCAGGAGCGACGGUUACAUGAAGGCCAGGCUGAUGACCUUGCCUGAUUUUCCG